Molecule: ribosomal RNA, 516 nt
Filed under: uncultured bacterium
Lineage: Bacteria
Description: bacterial SSU rRNA
Rfam family: Bacterial small subunit ribosomal RNA
Source: RNAcentral
AGGGUUCGAUUCUGGCUCAGGAUGAACGCUAGCGACAGGCUAACACAUGCAAGUCGAGGGCAGCAUAAAAGUAGCAAUACUUGGUGGCGACCGGCGCACGGGUGAGUAACGCGUAUGCAACCUACCUAUCAGAGGGGAAUAACCCGGCGAAAGUCGGACUAAUACCGCAUAAAACAGGGGCACCGCAUGGUGAUAUUUGUUAAAGAAAUUCGCUGAUAGAUGGGCAUGCGUUCCAUUAGGUAGUUGGUGAGGUAACGGCUCACCAAGCCGACGAUGGAUAGGGGAACUGAGAGGUUGGUCCCCCACACUGGUACUGAGACACGGACCAGACUCCUACGGGAGGCAGCAGUGAGGAAUAUUGGUCAAUGGGCGGGAGCCUGAACCAGCCAAGUCGCGUGAAGGAAAGAAGGAUCUAUGGUUCGUAAACUUCUUUUGCAGGGGAAUAAAGUGCAGGACGUGUCCUGUUUUGUAUGUACCCUGAGAAUAAGGAUCGGCUAACUCCGUGCCAGCAGCAGC